ACAAACUGUGUUCUUAUUCUAUGUUUUCCCUGGCUUGAUUUAUUGGUUUUGUUUUACUGUAUAGUGGAUAGGAAGUGUUUCUUUUAGUAGUUGAUAUACUGUUAUGUUUUCCGCAGAUAAUGUGAGGAAAAUUUAUUAUUUGAAGGUCCAUGAUACAAAAUUUUUGACUACCAAAGACAAAUCCACAAUCCUCUCAACCCUCGCUACAGAACUCUCUCAAUUACCAUUGUUGGAAAAGACAAAUCCACAAUCCUCUCAACCCUCGCUACAGAACUCUCUCAAUUACCAUUGUUGGGCCCAGACGAUGCUCUAUUGCUUCUCUACUCCUGGGCUUUUAGACAGAAAUUUUAAGCGCUACGGAUGCAAAUAUAGUAAAGGCGGAAGUGUAGGUGCAAGCAGAAUGUGACGGUCUGCCACUUGCUCUCAAGGUGAUUGGGAGCUCUUCGCAUGGGGAACCCCAAGAGGAUUGAAGAAGAGCAAAAACCAAGAUUUGUAGAGGAGAAAACACAUCAGAUUGUCACAGAGAAAGGCUAUGUAGAUUGAUACAGACCAGUAUUGACUCCUUAGAUGAUGCAACUAAUGAAUGUUUCUUAGAAUUGGUGUUAUUUUUAGAGGACAAGAAAAUCUGUGGUGAUUCACUAUUGGAUAUUUGUGUUUAUGUUCGAAACCUGCGAAGGUGUGAUGCUUUUGGUAUCUUAUCUGAACUUGCAAGGGCAAACCUGUUAAAUUUAAGUAGCAAUAUAAGAGGAACUACAACAAUCCCAUAUGAAAAUGCCUCGGAGCUAUACUUCUCUCAGCACGAUGUAAUGCCAGAUUUGACCUUUUUAUUUGGCAUACCAAGAAAAUGUAGUCGACAGCAAGAGGUUGGGUAAAGGGAGUUGCUUAAUGAUCGUGCAUUUGAUACUUAAAUACUCUCCACUCCCACUGAACCUAUGGAGGAAAUCACUGGCAUGAUAUGAAUUUCCCUGAGACAAAGGCUCUGUUACUCCUUUGUGGGAUAGAAGACUUUCUUGAGUCUUCCCCCAUAUUUGAAAUCCAUUAAAAAACUUAUUUAUUUUAUGGUAUUAAUUUGUGAUACAAAGAAGGCAACAGUGAAAGGGCUAGAUGGCUUAGCUUUAAUUUGGAGAUAUUGAUUUCACCCCUUGUUGAAAAUGAGAGUUAUGAAGAAUACAGAGCUUGGAGAAAAUAUCUUUGAGCUCAUGUGAAGGAUUUGGAAAUAUAUACACAUUCAACACAAGCAAUCUUAUAUCAGAUCAAAGCAGCCAGUUUGAAGAGUUGGCCCUUGAUAUCUUGACUAUGUCCUCCUCUCUGUCAUGGUCUAUUACCAAUGGCUCAGCACAAAAAGCCGUCAUGUAAACACUGACACUAUGUGCUUAAUGUGCUGGCAGUUUACAGUGGAGGUGUGCUUCCACAAUUUUAACUCUAAGCUCUAGAUUAGAAAUUUUCUUGGCAAGCAACCACUUUCCCAAUUUUCUCAUCACAUACAACAAGCUUCAGGGAACUUAGGUUACAAAUAGUUGUAGUUAACCUCAUCAAACGGGAACAUUCUGUUGUAUCAAAUUCCCUCAAUUUCCUGAGUUGUCCUAUUUCCUCUGGAAGUUCUUCCAAACCCUCGCAUACUGAAAUAUCUAGAUAUUCCAACCGUCCAAGUUUUCCAAUUAAUACUGGGAGCUCUUUCAGGACCGGUAAAGUCAAUAAUUUUGAUAUCAUUAGAUAGCUCACAUUUCGAAGAUCAUAUGGUAAAUUCCGAAGCAGAUGUCGUUUGGGGAAAAGCUUAAGGAGCUACCAUGUUCUGGUGAACCUGCUGGCUUUUUACAUUACCCUCAGUUCUAUUAAUUACCAUUGUUGGGCCCAAAGGAUGUUCUGUUGCUUUUCUGCUUCUGCAUUUUUGGACAGAUAUCAAGUCUAAGCACUAUUAAUGCAAAUCUCAUAAAGCAGAAAAGGACUAUUUAAAUUGCUGCAGACCAGUAUUGAUUCCUUAGAUUAGUGUUUCUUAGGCUUGGAGUUAUUUCCAGAGGACAAGAAAUUCAGUGGUGAUGCACUAUUAGUUAUUUGGCUUUAUGUUCGAAACCUACAAAGGCAUGACGCUUUUGCUCUUUCAUCUAGAGCUUGCAAGCAAAAACCUGUUAAAUUUAACAGCAUUCUAAGGUAUUGUCUUUCCUUUAAUAUCUUGGAUCUUCUGUUACCAUAUUUUUAAACACUAAGCUGACUUGCUAGCACGAACAGGGGAAGUUAAACAAUCCCAUAUGGAAAAGUCUUGGAACUAUGCUUUUCUUAGCAUGAUGUAAUGUGAGAUCUGUCCUUGUAUUUGGCACACCAAGACGAUGUAGUCAACAGCAAGAGGUUCCUCAUAACAAACAGGGAAUCUGGUUUGUUAGCUGAAGGGGAUUUGCUUAAUAAUAAUGCAUUUGAUACUCAAAUCCUCUCGAUUUUCACCGGUGAGAUAUUUACAAAUGGAUUUCGUCCAAAUAUAUAUGUUUUGGAAAUGCUAACCAUUAUUUUUUAUGUUCACCUGUAAUAUUAAAUUGUGUUUUUUAUGUUCACCUGUAAUAUUAAAUUGUGGUCGAAAUUCAAGAAUUUUUUUCUGUAUAAUAUUGCUUUAUCUUCUUUGUUGUGACAAAAUCUAUAUCGGAUUGACAUUGAAAACUAAUACUAAGUCUUUAAUAUUCUAAUCCCUUGUUCAGUGGGUGAACUCAGCUGUCUAUGUAAAUUAUUCAAACUAUCAUCACUCACUUAACAGUGUCCGCUUGGAGAGGUUGAUUUCACCCAUUGGUGAAAAACUGAGCAUUGAAGCACUGCAGAACUCAAAGAAGCUAUGUUUGAGCUUAUGUGAAGGAUUUGGAAAUAUAUCCACAAUCAUCAACACCCAGCUGCCAGAUUUGAACCUCGACCAUAGCAGUGAUUUGGAGGAGUGACCCCUCAGUAUUUGCAAUAUACCCCCCACCCUUUCAUGCUCUAUUACCAACUUUCGUCUUCUUCAAAAUUUGCCAUAUGAUUUUGAAAAUAUGAGCUGUCUAAGAAUGUCAAGGUUAUUAGCAUUACCACGCCUGGAACAGCUUCCUGUGUCAAUUGGAAAACUUGGACGGUUGGAAUAUCUAGACAUUUCACUAUGUGAGGGCUUGAAAGAACUUACAAAGGAAAUAGAACAACUCAAGAAAUUGAGGGAGCUUGAUAUGAGAGAGUGUUCUCUUUUGAUGAUGUUACCUUCAACUGUCUGUGAACUAAGUUCCCUGAAGCUUGUUACCUGUGAUGAGACAAUUGGGAAGCAGUGGUUGUGGGCCAAGAACAUUUCUAUUUUUGAGCUUAGAGUUGAAAUUGUGAAAGUACAAUUUCCUUUGAAUUGGUUUCAUGAUUGACUUCUUUCUUAUCUUUCAUCUUGAAGGACAAGAUCCAAGGUUCUUGACAUCCAUGUUAAGUUUCAAUACAUUUUGAUACCCACUGGCACAAAUCAAUAUAAGUUCAUGUAUAUUUUCAGCCUAUGAUUAUGAUCAACUUUUGUGGUAUGUUCAGUGUAGUAAACAUUUUGAACUGGUUUGUUCAUGUAUAACAAGACAUUUCUUUCUUUUGUAUAAACCUUGGAGGUGGGAGUAUUCAAAUAUGUGGGAGUUGUCCAGGCUGCA
This is a long non-coding RNA of Cryptomeria japonica (Japanese cedar), 3620 nucleotides long. RefSeq lists it as uncharacterized. The transcript has 5 exons. NCBI's taxonomy places the organism in Eukaryota, Viridiplantae, Streptophyta, Pinopsida, Cupressales, Cupressaceae. The record is from RefSeq and is a predicted model, not a curated record.